Molecule: ribosomal RNA, 253 nt
Filed under: uncultured prokaryote
Description: partial 16S ribosomal RNA
Rfam family: Bacterial small subunit ribosomal RNA
Source: RNAcentral
ACGUAGGGUGCGAGCGUUGUCCGGAAUUACUGGGCGUAAAGAGCUCGUAGGUGGUUUGUCGCGUUGUCCGUGAAAACUCACAACUCAAUUGUGGGCGUGCGGGCGAUACGGGCAGACUGGAGUACUGCAGGGGAGACUGGAAUUCCUGGUGUAGCGGUGGAAUGCGCAGAUAUCGGGAGGAACACCUGUGGCGAAAGCGGCGCACUGGACCAUAACUGACGCUGAGGCGCGAAAGCUAGGGGAGCAAACAGGA